ACCUGAGCGACGGCUCGGGCCGCAUGUACGUGCUGCGCAAGAAGCCGCCAGGCAAGCUCCUGCCCUCGGCGCACCAGGUCGAUCGCGAGUAUCGCGUGAUCAAGGCGCUCUCGGAUCAUAGCGACGUGCCGGUACCCAAGCCCUACGCGCUGUGCCAGGACGACACCGUCAUCGGCACAGCCUUCUACGUCAUGGAGUUCCUCCCCGGGCGCAUCCUGGUCGAUCCCAAGAUG
RNAcentral lists this unclassified non-coding RNA (233 nucleotides) under uncultured bacterium. RNAcentral describes it as "contains 16S-23S intergenic spacer region". The record is from RNAcentral.